UACAGAGGAGCCAAGCGUUGUCCGGAUUGACUGGGCGUAAAGCGCACGCAGGCGGACGCGCGCGUGGGGUGUGAAAUCUGGCCGCUUAACGGCCAGGCGCCAUCCCAUACGGCGCGACUGGAGUGAUGCAGAGGUCGAUGGAAUUGCCGGUGUAGUGGUGAAAUGCGUAGAGAUCCGGAGGAACACCGAAGGCGAAGGCAGUGUCCUGGCUGGUGACUGACGCUGAGGUGCGAAAGCUAGGGGAGCGAACGGG
RNAcentral lists this ribosomal RNA (253 nucleotides) under uncultured bacterium. Its description in RNAcentral is "partial 16S ribosomal RNA". It matches the Rfam family "Bacterial small subunit ribosomal RNA", at positions 524 to 776 of the family's 1533-position model. The record is from RNAcentral.